This 253-nucleotide ribosomal RNA is filed under the name uncultured bacterium. RNAcentral's name for it is "partial 16S ribosomal RNA". It matches the Rfam family "Bacterial small subunit ribosomal RNA", at positions 524 to 776 of the family's 1533-position model. The record is from RNAcentral.
UACGUAGGGUGCGAGCGUUAAUCGGAAUUACUGGGCGUAAAGGGUGCGCAGGCGGUUCUGCAAGUCAGGCGUGAAAUCCCCGGGCUUAACCUGGGAAUUGCACUUGAAACUACGGGACUGGAGUCUGGCAGAGGGGGGUGGAAUUCCGCGUGUAGCAGUGAAAUGCGUAGAGAUGCGGAGGAACACCGAUGGCGAGGGCAGCCCCCUGGGCCAAGACUGACGCUCAGGCACGAAAGCGUGGGGAGCAAACAGG